Molecule: ribosomal RNA, 465 nt
Filed under: uncultured bacterium
Lineage: Bacteria
Description: partial 16S ribosomal RNA
Rfam family: Bacterial small subunit ribosomal RNA
Source: RNAcentral
GACGAACGCUGGCGGCGUGCUUAACACAUGCAAGUCGAACGGAAAGGCCCUGCUUGCAGGGUACUCGAGUGGCGAACGGGUGAGUAACACGUGGGUGAUCUGCCCUGCACUUCGGGAUAAGCCUGGGAAACUGGGUCUAAUACCGGAUAGGAGCCAUUUUUAGUGUGAUGGUUGGAAAGUUUUUUCGGUGUAGGAUGAGCUCGCGGCCUAUCAGCUUGUUGGUGGGGUAAUGGCCUACCAAGGCGGCGUCGGGUAGCCGGCCUGAGAGGGUGGACGGCCACAUUGGGACUGAGAUACGGCCCAGACUCCUACGGGAGGCAGCAGUGGGGAAUAUUGCACAAUGGGCGCAAGCCUGAUGCAGCGACGCCGCGUGGGGGAUGACGGCCUUCGGGUUGUAAACGCCUUUCGCUAGGGACGAAGCUUUUUGUGACGGUACCUAGAGAAGAAGCACCGGCUAACUACGUG